GUGGUAAUAGAUUUGGAAUUACCUGUGAUAUUCAAUGUACAAGAAAUACAAAGACCGAUACAUGUAAAGGCUUUCAGUUUUGCUUACCUAAUCCAUAUGGAUGUGACUGUAUAACAGGUUAUACUGGUCUUAAAUGUCUAACAGAUUGUGGCUUUGGUAAGUUUGGUGCGGGUUGCAGUCAGGAUUGCCAUUGUACGCCAGGAGGUUGUAACCAGUAUACUGGAGUGUGUUCGUCAGGUACUUGUGCACCUGGAUGGUCUGGAAGCAACUGCCAAGUUCCAAGCAAUUGUCCUGUUGGUUAUUUUGGCUCAUCUUGUACAUUAAUUUGUCAUUGUCAUGAUAAUGUUGAAUGUGAUAAGAAUACAGGUGUAUGUAGUAAUAAUGCAGACUGUGCAAAAGGAUAUCAUACAUAUGACAGUCAAUUUUGUAAAGGUAAGUACAGUGU
Anneissia japonica is the source of this 445-nucleotide long non-coding RNA. RefSeq lists it as uncharacterized. The record is from RefSeq and is a predicted model, not a curated record. The transcript is spliced from 3 exons. NCBI's taxonomy places the organism in Eukaryota, Metazoa, Echinodermata, Crinoidea, Comatulida, Comatulidae.